Molecule: ribosomal RNA, 492 nt
Filed under: uncultured bacterium
Lineage: Bacteria
Description: partial 16S ribosomal RNA
Rfam family: Bacterial small subunit ribosomal RNA
Source: RNAcentral
AGUGAACGCUGGCGGUAGGCCUAACACAUGCAAGUCGAACGGCAGCACAGUAAGAGCUUGCUCUUACGGGUGGCGAGUGGCGGACGGGUGAGGAAUACAUCGGAAUCUUCUUUUUCGUGGGUGAUUACGUGGGGAAACUUACGCUAAUACUGCAUACGACCUACGGGUGAAAGCAGGGGAUCUUCGGACCUUGCGUGAUUGAUUGAGCCGAUGUCGGAUUAGCUAGUUGGCGGGGUAAAGGCCCACCAAGGCGACGAUCCGUAGCGGGUCUGAGAGGAUGAUCAGCCACACUGGAACUGAGACACGGUCCAGACUCCUACGGGAGGCAGCAGUGGGGAAUAUUGGACAAUGGGCGCAAGCCUGAUACAGCCACACCGCGUGAGUGAAGAAGGCCUUCGGGUUGUAAAGCCCUUUUGUUGGGAAAGAAAAGCAGCAGAUUAAUACCCCGCUGUUCUGACGGUACCCAAAGAAUAAGCACCGGCUAACUACGUG